Molecule: ribosomal RNA, 887 nt
Filed under: Ergenstrema mugilis
Lineage: Eukaryota; Metazoa; Platyhelminthes; Monogenea; Gyrodactylidea; Tetraonchidae
Description: eukaryotic LSU rRNA
Rfam family: Eukaryotic large subunit ribosomal RNA
Source: RNAcentral
UGGUGUUGAGGCGUGUACCUGGGGCACGUGCGCCUACCCGAAGUCCAACUCCGAUUGUGGCUUGGAUAUUGCCCAGAGCGGGUGAAAGGCCCGUACGGGUAGGCUGUUGAUCGCGAGCACGGCCCUCAGAUGUGCAUGCUUUCGAGUCGGAUUGCUUGAGAAUGCAGUCCAAAGUGGGUGGUAAACUCCAUCCAAGGCUAAAUACUGGCACGAGUCCGAUAGUAGACAAGUACCGUGAGGGAAAGUUGAAAAGUACUCUGAAGAGAGAGUAAAUAGUACGUGAAACCGAUUGCAGGGAAGCUGGUGGAGUCAAGCUUCAUGCUUGGAGAAUUCUCGCUCAGAGCUUGUUGGUUUAUGUGAGCUUGAUGCCGGUUUGCUUGGAAAGAGUUGGGCACACCUAGUGUGCUUCAAGUCGGCCCGGGCGUGGUUGAUUGAGCCGGUGUCAUUGCUCUGCUCGGAGUGAUCUAUUCUUCGCGGCAUAAAUCAUGGUCGGUAGCCUUAUGAUGUGUACGUGCCGUCCGACUGUCUAACUGUGCUUUGACGGGCUCAACGGCUUGUCGGGUGCAGGAUGGCAGGUGGUGGUUUCGGGCCUCGGUCCGUAGCCGCUUAAACUGGUUUCGACUGGCUGACAGUCGGAUGGUAUCGUGGCUAUCGUUGAUGUGUGGUAUGCAGCUCGUGGGCUGCGUGCCGCUCAGAACCGUGAUUCUGAGGUAGACUUUCCACCCGACCCGUCUUGAAACACGGACCAAGAAGUUUAACAUGCGCGCAAGUCAAUGGGCUAGUCCUGGCACGAAACCCAAAGGCGUAAUGAAAGUGAAUGGCUGUGUAAGCAGUCUCAGGUGUGAUCCCGGCUUGCCCUAACCAGGCGGCUGGGCGCAGCACCGGCC